This 73-nucleotide transfer RNA is filed under the name Bacteroidota bacterium. Its description in RNAcentral is "Bacteroidetes bacterium (soil metagenome) tRNA-Lys". It matches the Rfam family "tRNA". Rfam says of the family: Transfer RNA (tRNA) molecules are approximately 80 nucleotides in length. Their secondary structure includes four short double-helical elements and three loops (D, anti-codon, and T loops). The record is from RNAcentral. Lineage: Bacteria; Pseudomonadati; Bacteroidota.
CGGUUUGUAACUCAGUUGGUAGAGUACCGUCCUUUUAAGACGGGAGCCCCGGGUUCGAGUCCCGGCAGGCCGA